This 251-nucleotide unclassified non-coding RNA is filed under the name uncultured fungus. Its description in RNAcentral is "partial contains small subunit ribosomal RNA, internal transcribed spacer 1, and 5.8S ribosomal RNA". The stretch from base 1 to 73 matches the Rfam family "Eukaryotic small subunit ribosomal RNA", at positions 1759 to 1831 of the family's 1831-position model. Lineage: Eukaryota; Fungi. The record is from RNAcentral.
GCAAACUUGGUCAUUUAGAGGAAGUAAAAGUCGUAACAAGGUUUCCGUAGGUGAACCUGCGGAAGGAUCAUUAACGAAAUCCAAAAUCUUACAAACCCCAUUGUGAACCGAGCAACCUCUUCUUCGGGAGAGGGAGCAUUUUAUUACAAACUCAUUGUGUUCAAAGCAUGUAAUUGUCGCGCAAGCGAUCAAACCCAAAUAUAACUUUCAGCAACGGAUCUCUUGGCUCUCGCAUCGAUGAAGAACGCAGC